GGGCGUACAGCUCAGUAACACGUAGUCAACCUGCCCUCUAGUCUGGAAUAAUCCUGGGAAACUGGGGCUAACGCCGGAUAGGUGAGGAAUACUGGAAUGUUUCUUCAUUUAAAGAUACGCUAGAGGAUGGGACUGCGGUCGAUUAGGUUGUUGCCGGGGUAAAUUCCCGACAUGCCGAUAAUCGAUACGGGCCUUGAGAGAGGAAGCCCGGAGAUGGAUUCUGAGACAAAAAUCCAGGUCCUACGGGACGCAUCAGGCGCGAAAAUUCCACAAUGCGCGAAAGCGUUAUGGAGAAACCCGAAGUGGAUUCGCUAAGCGAAUCCUUUUGUCAAGUGUAAAAAGCUUGGCGAAUAAGGGGUGGGUAAGACAGGUGCCAGCCGCCGCGGUAAUACCCGCGCCCCGAGUGGUAAUCACGUUUAUUGGGUUUAAAGCGUCCGUAGCCGGUUUGUUAAGUUUCUAAUGAAAUCCUGCAGUAAACUGCAAGACUUGUUAGGAAUACUGGCAAACUUGGGACCGGGAGAGGCAAGGAGUACUGUAGGGGUAAGGGUAAAAUCUUAUAAUCCUUACAGGACUACCAGUGGCGAAGGCGCCUUGCUAGAACGGAUCCGACGGUGAGGGGCGAAAGCUAGGGGAGCAAAGGGGAUUAGAUAGAACCCUUCUUUCUAAAGAAAGAAGCCUUCUAUGGGAAGAAAAGAAUUUACGAAAUAAUAGGUUCCUAAAAACCCCCGUAGUCCUAGCUGUAAACGAUACCCACCAGACGUUGGGGGUCUUACGAGGGCUCUCAGUGUCACAGGGAAACCGCUAAGUGGGUCACCUGGGGAGUACGGCCGCAAGACUGAAACUUAAAGGAAUUGGCGGGGGAGCACACAAGGGGUGGAGGCUGCGGUUUAAUUGGAUUCAACGCCAGGAACCUUACCAGAGGCGACAGCAGGAUGAAGGUCAGGCUGAAGACUUUACCAGACAAGCUGAGAAGUAGUGCAUGGCCGUCGUCAGUUCGUGUCGUGAGAUGUCCUGUUAAGUCAGGUAACGAACAAGACCCGUGCCCUAUGUUGCAACCUUUUAAUUUGUUAAGAGGGCACUCAUAGGGGACCGCUGCCGAAAAGGCAGAGGAAGGUGCGGUCGACGGCAGGUCUGUAUGCCCUGAAUCCUCUGGGUUACACGCGGCCUACAAUGGGUAGUACAAUGAGAUGCGACUCCGAAAGGAGAAGCCAAUCUCUAAAGCUGCCCCCAGUUCAGAUCGAGGGCUGCAACUCGCCCUCGUGAAGCCGAAAUCCCUAGUAGUCGCUGUUUAGCAUACAGCGGCGAAUACGUUCCUGCUCCUUGCACACACCGCCCGUC
This 1338-nucleotide ribosomal RNA is filed under the name uncultured archaeon. RNAcentral describes it as "bacterial SSU rRNA". It matches the Rfam family "Archaeal small subunit ribosomal RNA", at positions 79 to 1354 of the family's 1478-position model. The record is from RNAcentral.